UUCUCGACGUGCAGCACGACAUGGGCGCUUUGAAGCACUACGACGGCGCUUACUGGAAGGCGCUGUUCGAUUCACGAGUCGGCAAAACGACGUGGCCGUACGGAUCAGGGGUUUGGUCAAAGAAAGAGUGGGUGCUGCCCGAGAUUGAUAGUGAUGAUAUCGUGAGCGCUUUCGAAGGGAACUCGAAUCUGUUCUGGGCUGAAAGAUUUGGCAAAGAGUUUUUGCAAAUGAAUGAUUUGUGGGUUAAGCACUGUGGGAUUAGUCAUACAGGAAGUUUUAAGGAUCUGGGUAUGACUGUUUUGGUGAGUCAAGUGAAUAGGUUAAAGAGAAUGAACAAACCGGUUAUUGGGGUUGGCUGUGCUUCAACUGGUGAUACCUCAGCUGCUCUGUCAGCUUAUUGUGCCUCUGCUGGCGUUCCUUCUAUUGUGUUUUUGCCCGCUAAUAAGAUUUCAAUUGCCCAGUUAGUGCAGCCUAUUGCAAAUGGUGCUUUUGUUUUGAGUCUUGAUACUGAUUUUGAUGGCUGCAUGCAGUUGAUAAGGGAAGUUACUUCUGAGUUGCCUAUUUAUUUAGCUAAUUCUUUGAAUAGUUUGAGGUUAGAGGGACAAAAGACUGCUGCUAUUGAGAUAUUGCAGCAGUUUGAUUGGGAAGUUCCCGAUUGGGUGAUAGUUCCUGGUGGUAAUUUGGGAAAUAUAUAUGCUUUUUAUAAAGGGUUUCAAAUGUGCAAAGAGUUGGGACUUGUUGAUAGGAUUCCUCGGCUUGUAUGUGCACAAGCUGCAAAUGCAAACCCACUUUACUUGUAUUAUAAGUCAGGGUGGAAAGAUUUUAAGCCUGUCAGGGCAAAUACUACUUUUGCAUCUGCUAUUCAGAUUGGUGAUCCUGUUUCUAUUGACAGAGCUGUUUAUGCCUUGAAAAAUUGUGAUGGUAUUGUUGAGGAAGCUACCGAGGAGGAAUUGAUGGAUGUUUCUGCGCAAGCGGAUUCUACUGGCAUGUUUGUUUGUCCUCAUACUGGGGUGGCAUUGUCUGCAUUGAUUAAGCUUCGAUGUAAAGGGGUUAUUGGAAAGACUGAUAAGACGGUAGUGGUGAGUACCGCUCAUGGGUUGAAAUUUACUCAGAGUAAGAUUGAUUAUCACUCACAGAAUAUCAAGGACAUGGCUUGCCGGUUGGCUAAUCCUCCAGUGAGUGUGAAGGCGGAUUUUGGGUCAGUUAUGGAUGUUUUGAAGAAGUACUUGUUGAGUAAAGAACCAAAGUAUUAGGCUUCUAUGACGAGCAGAGGAAAGUUUUGCGCAGCGGCUUCAUCUUUCCCUAGCUAAGCAGUCAGCACUCUCUUAUUGGAGGCAUCUUGUAGGAUUUACAAUUGUGUCAUCAUGUUGUUUUUGCUAGAGAAACCAUCUGUAAGGCAGGACUGCCAGUUUUGGUCAAGCUAGGCACAAGUGUAAUGAUCAACGUGCAGCACGACAUGGGCGCUUUGAAGCACUACGACGGCGCUUACUGGAAGGCGCUGUUCGAUUCACGAGUCGGCAAAACGACGUGGCCGUACGGAUCAGGGGUUUGGUCAAAGAAAGAGUGGGUGCUGCCCGAGAUUGAUAGUGAUGAUAUCGUGAGCGCUUUCGAAGGGAACUCGAAUCUGUUCUGGGCUGAAAGAUUUGGCAAAGAGUUUUUGCAAAUGAAUGAUUUGUGGGUUAAGCACUGUGGGAUUAGUCAUACAGGAAGUUUUAAGGAUCUGGGUAUGACUGUUUUGGUGAGUCAAGUGAAUAGGUUAAAGAGAAUGAACAAACCGGUUAUUGGGGUUGGCUGUGCUUCAACUGGUGAUACCUCAGCUGCUCUGUCAGCUUAUUGUGCCUCUGCUGGCGUUCCUUCUAUUGUGUUUUUGCCCGCUAAUAAGAUUUCAAUUGCCCAGUUAGUGCAGCCUAUUGCAAAUGGUGCUUUUGUUUUGAGUCUUGAUACUGAUUUUGAUGGCUGCAUGCAGUUGAUAAGGGAAGUUACUUCUGAGUUGCCUAUUUAUUUAGCUAAUUCUUUGAAUAGUUUGAGGUUAGAGGGACAAAAGACUGCUGCUAUUGAGAUAUUG
Molecule: long non-coding RNA, 2065 nt
Filed under: Citrus sinensis (sweet orange)
Lineage: Eukaryota; Viridiplantae; Streptophyta; Magnoliopsida; Sapindales; Rutaceae
Description: long non-coding RNA (CSIN_LNC000347)
Source: RNAcentral